This 375-nucleotide ribosomal RNA is filed under the name uncultured bacterium. RNAcentral's name for it is "bacterial SSU rRNA". It matches the Rfam family "Bacterial small subunit ribosomal RNA", at positions 521 to 896 of the family's 1533-position model. The record is from RNAcentral.
UAAUACGUACUGUGCGAACGUUAUUCGGAAUCACUGGGCUUAAAGGGUGCGUAGGCGGCCGCUUAAGUAGGGUGUGAAAUACCUCGGCUCAACCGAGGAAUUGCGCUCUAAACUGGACGGCUUGAGUGAGAUAGGGGUGUGCGGAACUUCCAGUGGAGCGGUGAAAUGUGUUGAUAUUGGAAGGAACGCCGGUGGCGAAAGCGGCACACUGGGUCUUAACUGACGCUGAGGCACGAAAGCCAGGGUAGCGAACGGGAUUAGAUACCCCGGUAGUCCUGGCUGUAAACGCUGAGCACUAGACGGGAGGGGCUUCGGCCCAUUCGGUCGCAGCGAAAGCAUUAAGUGCUCCGCCUGGGGAGUAUGGUCGCAAGGCUG